Molecule: long non-coding RNA, 229 nt
Filed under: Lathyrus oleraceus (garden pea)
Lineage: Eukaryota; Viridiplantae; Streptophyta; Magnoliopsida; Fabales; Fabaceae
Description: Pisum sativum (pea) long non-coding RNA (PSAT_LNC035637)
Source: RNAcentral
AAAAGCGGUCCAGGCAAAAUUAGGGAUAAAAUAAAUCAAUCAAAAGAGGUCAUUAAAUCCUCGACAAAAACAAAAUAAGGUGACUGCCAUUUCAAGAAAAUUCGUCUUGAACCCUCAUCACACCUUCAAAAAGCGGUCCAGGCAAAAUUAGGGAUAAAAUAAAUCAAUCAAAAGAGGUCAUUAAAUCCUCGACAAAAACAAAAUAAGGUGACUGCCAUUUCAAGAAAAU